RNAcentral lists this ribosomal RNA (482 nucleotides) under uncultured bacterium. RNAcentral describes it as "partial 16S ribosomal RNA". It matches the Rfam family "Bacterial small subunit ribosomal RNA", at positions 30 to 507 of the family's 1533-position model. The record is from RNAcentral.
AUUGAACGCUGGCGGCAUGCCUUACACAUGCAAGUCGAACGGUAACAGGUCUUCGGCCGCUGACGAGUGGCGCACGGGUGAGUAAUACAUCGGAACGUGCCCGAUCGUGGGGGAUAACGAGGCGAAAGCUUUGCUAAUACCGCAUACGAUCUACGGAUGAAAGCGGGGGAUCUUCGGACCUCGCGCGGCCGGAGCGGCCGAUGGCAGAUUAGGUAGUUGGUGGGAUAAAAGCUUACCAAGCCGACGAUCUGUAGCUGGUCUGAGAGGAUGAUCAGCCACACUGGGACUGAGACACGGCCCAGACUCCUACGGGAGGCAGCAGUGGGGAAUUUUGGACAAUGGGCGAAAGCCUGAUCCAGCCAUGCCGCGUGCAGGAUGAAGGCCUUCGGGUUGUAAACUGCUUUUGUACGGAACGAAAAGCCUCUUUCUAAUAAAGAGGGGUCAUGACGGUACCGUAAGAAUAAGCACCGGCUAACUACGUG